RNAcentral lists this ribosomal RNA (466 nucleotides) under uncultured ciliate. Its description in RNAcentral is "SSU rRNA". It matches the Rfam family "Eukaryotic small subunit ribosomal RNA". The record is from RNAcentral. Lineage: Eukaryota; Ciliophora.
AUUUGUCUGGUUAAUUCCGAUAACGAACGAGACCUUAACCUGCUAACUAGAUCUUAUUAUUUUAUAAUUUGCAUCUUCUUAGAGGGACUAUGUAAUCUAAAUACAUGGAAGUUUGAGGCAAUAACAGGUCAGUGAUGCCCUUAUAUGUCCUGGGCUGCACGCGUGCUACACUGAUGCAUACAACAAGUGCCUAACCAGACAUGGUAUGGCAAUCUCGAAUAUGCAUCGUGAUGGGGAUAGAUCUUUGCAAUUAUAGAUCUUGAACGAGGAAUUCCUAGUAAGUGCAAGUCAUCAUCUUGCAUUGAUUAUGUCCCUGCCCUUUGUACACACCGCCCGUCGCUCCUACCGAUACCGGGUGAUCCGGUGAACCUUUUGGACUCUUUAUGGGAAAGAUAAGUAAACCAUAUCACCUAGAGGAAGGAGAAGUCGAAACAAGGUUUCCGUAGGUGAACCUGCRGAAGGAUCA